AAACCGCUUAGGGGUUAAGCCCGAUGAACCUGAAUAUCUGAAAUGAGAAAUUCAAUACUAUUUCAAUAAUUUAUUCUAAACAAAUAAAUUGGCGAUGGUAUGCACUUUUCUCAUAAGUAAGACAUUGCGAUCCAUUAGUGUUAUAUCAAAUUUAUUUUGAUGGUUUAUCAAACGGCCUAUUUGAUAUGUUUAUUCUAUCUGUGGUAUAUAUUUUUUAUAUCAUAUGAAUAAUAUCAUAUUAGUGACCUGAUAAACAGCUGAUGGAAUUUCAAAAUAUUCAUGCUUUACACAUUAAUUUGUGCAUCACGAUUUUAUUAUUUAAAUUUUCGUAAAAAAAAAUGAUGAUAAUAAUUUGCAGUGAUGGCAUGUAUAUGAUCAGCAAUGCGAUAGAUUUGGGAUACCUUCGGGACCCGUCUUGAAACACGGACCAAGAAGUCUAACAUGUGUGCGAGUCAUUGGGUAUAUUGUUGAAACCUAAAGGCGAAAUUAAAAUAACUAUUUUUAUGGGAUUACAAAUAAUUUAAUUUAAUUAAUUAUUUCUCCAUCCCGGGGCGUUCUAUAUUAAACAUGUUUUAAGAAAUUAAAUCCUCUGUUUAAGAGCGUACCUUGAGCAUACAUGCUGU
This 623-nucleotide ribosomal RNA is filed under the name Hesperinus ninae. Its description in RNAcentral is "eukaryotic LSU rRNA". Lineage: Eukaryota; Metazoa; Arthropoda; Insecta; Diptera; Hesperinidae. The record is from RNAcentral.